GUUGUUUUUCUCCGUGUCCCUAACCACCCUUUCACCCCAUCGUUCACCAGACAGCAUACCUUCGGGUUGAAUCAUCGUCUGGGUCGCCCGGCCUGUUACACGGAGCCCCUCUUUCUCCUGCAGACGCCCAGGAGCCACCUCCAAAAGGAGCUGUUUGUGGGGGCCCCGCGGCCGGGCCCACAGCUGAGCCAAGUGCCACUCGGCGGCCACAGGUCAUCCCUCCGACAGGUGUUUGCCGGGCACUGUGGUCGGAGGAGCCUGCUUUCCUGGCAACAGGCGCAUCGGAGUGAGAUGAAGAUGCCCUUGGUGAAGGCGUGACAGAGGGGCGGUGGCCUGAGAAGGUGGCAGCGGCACCAGAACCCAGGGCCUGCCCUGAGCCUGCGCCUGCGCCUGAGCUCCGGGAGGGAGGGAGGGGGCGGCCCUGAGGCGCCUGGACGCGGCCUUCAGCUCCCAGUGGUGAGGACAAGAGUGGAACAAAACCACCAAGAAAAGGAGUUUCCACCCCGACAACUUGGCCACUGAGGAGGCUGCGAGCGUCCAGAAAUAGAGGAAAUGGCCUCCU
Long non-coding RNA from Myotis davidii, 562 nucleotides. RefSeq lists it as uncharacterized. The transcript is spliced from 3 exons. Lineage: Eukaryota; Metazoa; Chordata; Mammalia; Chiroptera; Vespertilionidae. The record is from RefSeq and is a predicted model, not a curated record.